This 253-nucleotide ribosomal RNA is filed under the name uncultured bacterium. RNAcentral describes it as "partial 16S ribosomal RNA". It matches the Rfam family "Bacterial small subunit ribosomal RNA", at positions 524 to 776 of the family's 1533-position model. The record is from RNAcentral.
UACGAAGGGGGCUAGCGUUGCUCGGAAUCACUGGGCGUAAAGGGUGCGUAGGCGGGUCUUUAAGUCAGGGGUGAAAUCCUGGAGCUCAACUCCAGAACUGCCUUUGAUACUGAGGAGCUUGAGUUCGGGAGAGGUGAGUGGAACUGCGAGUGUAGAGGUGAAAUUCGUAGAUAUUCGCAAGAACACCAGUGGCGAAGGCGGCUCACUGGCCCGAUACUGACGCUGAGGCACGAAAGCCAGGGGAGCGAACGGG